Molecule: ribosomal RNA, 490 nt
Filed under: uncultured bacterium
Lineage: Bacteria
Description: bacterial SSU rRNA
Rfam family: Bacterial small subunit ribosomal RNA
Source: RNAcentral
AGGACGAACGCUGGCGGCGUGCUUUACACAUGCAAGUCGAACGGAGUGUAGCGAUACACUCAGUGGCGGACGGGUGAGUAACGCGUGAGCAACCUGCCUUGUACAACGGGAUAACACAGAGAAAUUUGUGCUAAUACGGUAUAAGACCACAGUGGGGCAUCCCACAGGGGUAAAAGAAAAUCGGUACAAGAGGGGCUCGCGUCCCAUUAGCUAGUUGGCGGGUAACGGCCCACCAAGGCGACGAUGGGUAGCCGAUCUGAGAGGAUGACCGGCCACACUGGAACUGAGACACGGUCCAGACUCCUACGGGAGGCAACAGUGGGGAAUAUUGCGCAAUGGGCGAAAGCCUGACGCAGCAACGCCGCCGUGAGUGAGGAAGGCCUUCGGGUUGUAAAGCUCUGUCAUUUUGGACGAAACCUAAUUGUUAAAUAGGCAAUUAGAUGACGGUACAGAAGAAGGAAGCCCCGGCUAACUACGUGCCAGCCGCAGC